AAAGGAGGGUGGGACUAGAGUAGUGAAUAGAGGCAGAGUAAAUUGGUGCAGCAACAAGCUGUGUUCAUAAAGAGCUGGGGUGAGCGCGGGUUUCCUGCCUCUGAGUCUUUUAUUUAAAUCGUCUUGACUGUGCAGCCUCCAGGUGUUGCUGAAGGGAAAUUUCCAUUAUGGGGUGAGAGAUUAUCUCCUUAGAGGCUUCUGAAAUGCUCAAUUCAGUGGUCCCCAAAUUUGCUGCCCACUGGAAUCACCUGGCCAUCUUUAAAAAUUACUGAUGCCUGGUUCCCAUCUCUCAGUAUUGUAAUUUACCAGGUGUGCUGACUUUUAAAGGAUGUUUGUGGUUUCAGAGAAAUCCCAGGACAUACAGAGAAACUUGAAAUUUCCAAGGAUGUGAACUGCAAGACAACCAUUGCUCAUCAGAUCUUGUCCUUGACAUUAUGGACAAGCUUCUUUCAAAGAAAGCUCUUUACCCAUGGGGAUAAGGGAGUUGAUGGAUAUAAGAAUCAUUUCUGGACUGUCACACACAGGCCAUGCAACCUCACCAAAUAAAUAGUUCUUUGUA
Bos taurus (domestic cattle) is the source of this 559-nucleotide long non-coding RNA. NCBI's taxonomy places the organism in Eukaryota, Metazoa, Chordata, Mammalia, Artiodactyla, Bovidae. The record is from Ensembl.